This 468-nucleotide ribosomal RNA is filed under the name uncultured bacterium. Its description in RNAcentral is "partial 16S ribosomal RNA". It matches the Rfam family "Bacterial small subunit ribosomal RNA", at positions 28 to 507 of the family's 1533-position model. The record is from RNAcentral.
GACGAACGCUGGCGGCGUGCUUAACACAUGCAAGUCGAACGGAAAGGCCCUGCUUUUGUGGGGUGCUCGAGUGGCGAACGGGUGAGUAACACGUGAGUAACCUGCCCUUGACUUUGGGAUAACUUCAGGAAACUGGGGCUAAUACCGGAUAGGAGCUCCUGCUGCAUGGUGGGGGUUGGAAAGUUUCGGCGGUUGGGGGUGGACUCGCGGCUUAUCAGCUUGUUGGUGGGGUAGUGGCUUACCAAGGCUUUGACGGGUAGCCGGCCUGGGCGGGUGACCGGCCACAUUGGGACUGAGAUACGGCCCAGACUCCUACGGGAGGCAGCAGUGGGGAAUAUUGCACAAUGGGCGGAAGCCUGAUGCAGCAACGCCGCGUGCGGGAUGACGGCCUUCGGGUUGUAAACCGCUUUCGCCUGUGACGAAGCGUGAGUGACGGUAAUGGGUAAAGAAGCACCGGCUAACUACGUG